This 465-nucleotide ribosomal RNA is filed under the name Vreelandella stevensii. Its description in RNAcentral is "partial 16S ribosomal RNA". It matches the Rfam family "Bacterial small subunit ribosomal RNA", at positions 338 to 795 of the family's 1533-position model. Lineage: Bacteria; Pseudomonadati; Pseudomonadota; Gammaproteobacteria; Oceanospirillales; Halomonadaceae. The record is from RNAcentral.
CCUACGGGUGGCUGCAGUGGGGAAUAUUGGACAAUGGGCGAAAGCCUGAUCCAGCCAUGCCGCGUGUGUGAAGAAGGCCUUCGGGUUGUAAAGCACUUUCAGUGGGGAAGAAAGCCUUGGGGCUAAUACCCUCGAGGAAGGACAUCACCCACAGAAGAAGCACCGGCUAACUCCGUGCCAGCAGCCGCGGUAAUACGGAGGGUGCGAGCGUUAAUCGGAAUUACUGGGCGGAAAGCGCGCGUAGGCGGUCUGAUAAGCCGGUUGUGAAAGCCCCGGGCUCAACCUGGGAACGGCAUCCGGAACUGUCAGGCUAGAGUGCAGGAGAGGAAGGUAGAAUUCCCGGUGUAGCGGUGAAAUGCGUAGAGAUCGGGAGGAAUACCAGUGGCGAAGGCGGCCUUCUGGACUGACACUGACGCUGAGGUGCGAAAGCGUGGGUAGCAAACAGGAUUAGAUACCCUGGUAGUC